UGUAUUCUCAAAUUCUCACCAUUCUGGGCUUAUCAUUGGUGUAAGGUUCAUCGCAGUGCCUCGGCCUCCGAUCAAGAGUAAUAUAGAGAUGAAGAUGGACAAGCAGCAGCAGCAGCCAAGGGAGGAGCAGAUCCAAUUGUUGUCAAACGCAAGGUUAGAUGGCGGUGGAAAAAAAGAGGAGAAAGAAGAAAGCAGGAGAAAGUUCUGGUGGAAGAAGGUGUUAGAUGUGGAGGAGGCCAAGAAACAAAUCUU
This 252-nucleotide unclassified non-coding RNA is filed under the name Hevea brasiliensis (rubber tree). Lineage: Eukaryota; Viridiplantae; Streptophyta; Magnoliopsida; Malpighiales; Euphorbiaceae. The record is from RNAcentral.